RNAcentral lists this ribosomal RNA (1602 nucleotides) under Triticum aestivum (bread wheat). Its description in RNAcentral is "partial small subunit ribosomal RNA". Lineage: Eukaryota; Viridiplantae; Streptophyta; Magnoliopsida; Poales; Poaceae. The record is from RNAcentral.
AUGGAGCACGACGCGCCGCCCGCCCCCUCGCACCACGCCCAGGACGACGGCGCCGUGGACGACUGGGCGCGCGACGACGCGGAGCCGUCCGAUCGGCACGCCGCCCCCGCGGAGGAGAGCCCCGAGCCCGCGGACGCCGCCGCCGCCCCCGCGCCACCAGCGGAAGGUGUCAAUGACAUUCAGUCAUCACUUCAGUCGUUGGAGUUGAAGACAAAUGCUCCUGCGCAUGAGGAUGUUCAAAUGGUAGCAGAUGAGGAAGAGGAAGAAAAGCGCCAUAUAAAUUUGGUUUUCAUCGGCCAUGUUGAUGCGGGGAAAUCGACUGCUGGAGGGCAAAUAUUGUUCUUGAGUGGUCAGGUUGAUGACCGGACCAUCCAGAAAUAUGAAAAAGAAGCAAAGGAUAAGAGCCGAGAAAGUUGGUAUAUGGCUUAUAUUAUGGACACAAAUGAGGAAGAGCGACUUAAGGGGAAGACUGUUGAAGUUGGUAGAGCCCACUUUGAGACUGAAAAUACAAGAUUCACUAUCUUAGAUGCACCGGGCCAUAAAAGUUAUGUUCCAAAUAUGAUAAGUGGUGCAUCUCAAGCUGACAUUGGUGUUCUGGUCAUAUCUGCUCGGAAAGGUGAAUUUGAAACUGGUUAUGAAAGAGGAGGCCAGACUCGUGAACAUGUACUGCUUGCAAAAACUCUAGGUGUUGCUAAGUUGGUAGUUGUCAUCAACAAGAUGGAUGAACCUACAGUACAAUGGUCAAAAGAAAGGUAUGAUGAAAUUGAAGGGAAGAUGAUUCCUUUUCUCAGAUCUUCAGGGUACAAUGUUAAGAAAGAUGUCCAGUUCUUGCCUAUUUCUGGUCUUUGUGGAGCCAAUAUGAAGACCAGAAUGGAUAAAAGCAUUUGUAGUUGGUGGAACGGUCCUUGCCUUUUUGAAAUUCUGGACAAAAUCGAAGUUCCUUUGCGUGAUCCCAAAGGGCCAGUAAGGCUGCCAAUUAUUGAUAAAUAUAAAGAUAUGGGCACAGUCGUAAUGGGAAAAUUAGAGAAUGGGACUAUCAGAGAGGGUGAUAGUUUGUUGGUUAUGCCAAACAAGACCCACGUGAAAGUCACUGGUAUAAACUUGGAUGAGAAGAAAGUACGACGUGCUGGACCCAAUGAGAAUGUACGUGUCAAAGUGUCUGGAAUUGAAGAGGAGGAUAUCAUGGCAGGUUUUGUACUUUCAAGUGUUGCUAAUCCUAUUGGUGCUUUCACUGAAUUUAAUGCCCAACUGCAGAUUCUAGAGUUGCUUGAUAAUGCUAUUUUCACUGCUGGUUACAAGGCAGUGUUACACAUCCACUCUGUUGUCGAGGAGUGUGAGAUUGUUGAUCUCAUAGAGGAAAUUGACAUGAAGAAAGCGAAAGUAACUGACCCAAAGAAAAAGAAGACCAAGAGGAAGCCUCUUUUUGUGAAGAAUGGUGCAGUUGUAGUUUGCCGCGUCCAGGUGACUAAUUUGAUAUGCAUAGAGAAGUUCUCUGAUUUCCCUCAGCUUGGAAGGUUUACUCUACGAACUGAAGGCAAGACAAUAGCUGUAGGCAAGGUUGUUGAUGUUCCUCCAGUUGGCAGGUCAACGUUUUCAGCUUAA